Lycium ferocissimum is the source of this 2869-nucleotide long non-coding RNA. RefSeq lists it as uncharacterized. The record is from RefSeq and is a predicted model, not a curated record. Lineage: Eukaryota; Viridiplantae; Streptophyta; Magnoliopsida; Solanales; Solanaceae. The transcript is spliced from 4 exons.
UUUUCUCAACAUAUAAUUCCAGAAGAAUCUUUCCAGUUCUUUCAUCUUUUUGUUCCAACUAUGGACAAACAUGGGUUGGACUUCAGAAUUCUCUUUUCUCCAAACCGUCAAGGACUGCUCUUCGACUUCAGCUCUCAACUGGAUAUGCAAUUUUAGGUCAGUUUUUGUCUCAAUCUUUAGCCUAAUCAGAUUUUUCAAUUUCAUAGCUAAUGUUUAAAAAUGGGCUCAAUUUUCUGUCAGAAAGAAGUAGAUGUUUCUUCGUUGUGCUUCAUCGGAUUAUGCUCCCGCUCGGUACAGAAAAAACCUCUUAUUAGCUUCAAAUUUCUUGCUUACCAAACCAGUCACCGGUACCUAUUUCAGUAGUGAAUGUAAUUUCUAGAAAAAAUAUAGGGUUAUCUUUGUUUCAUACUCACUGUAACGAAGAAUUAAUGGUUAUGCUGUAUCCACCUCUAUUUAUUUGCAGGCAAGAGGUGUCAUUAUGUGUUGGAACUUGGAACCUACCUAAUUCCACAUUCUAACAAGGCAAGUGGUAAUUCAUAUUGUCCUCUGACUUGAUCUCUUUCUCUAUCGUUUUCAUUGAACUUUACAGCAAUCUGGUGAUUAUUUUGUGUUUUACAAUAGCCUAUCUAGAGGGGGUAUGCCUCGAUCAAUAAGCUUGCAGAAAAGGUCUACUGACCAUGCUAGGAUAAGAGCAUAAGCACAUUGAGUUGCCAUGUUAACCAAAAAAUCUAAUUAAAAUGGAAUAACUUUGUGCAGUUAAGGUGUUUGACGAUAUGCCUAAAACAACCAAAUAGUUUUAUUUUCCCAUAAGUGUUUUAACAUAAAUAUCUUUCCUUUUGCAAGGCCAGAACUUUUGAUAACACAAAUAUAAUUUAUUUGAAACAUGUUAUGCAGCGUAUUCUUUAAUGGGAACCUAUUUGGAAAUUUAUUUGUAUCUAAAAAGGGAAGUUUUUCGUGAAGAAAGUGAAUAUGGAUAACUCUUUCAUGGUGCCCUAUACUCUGGUCGUGCUAGAAUUACUAAUGUUAUUUGGUCAAGAAUUAUCAUUAGCAAAAAUAUUUCUUUCUAUCUCUUUGUCUAGACAAUCUAUUUGAACACUAAGGUAUACAUGAUUAAUAUCAUCGAUUAUUUCUUCUUUUUAUUUGAUAUUUAGGUCAGUAGAAAUGUGUAUCUGUACAAUCCUUCUAAUGUGUUUCUCAAUCUAAUGAUGAUUAAAUACAUUACUUUGAUAUCUGAACUCCAUGCUAGCCUCUCUAUUUUCAUUGUAUAAGUGAAUUUUUUUUUUUUUUUUUUUUUUUGUUUUUCCCGGUGGUAUGUGUGCCUAUAAUUAGGUUAUUAUACGUUAAUGAAUAAGAUGGACCCAUCACUCGGCCCAUGAUUUAUGCAGCACCAAGGUGAUAGUAUAUGUUUUGUUGUUGUCCAGACACAUGUUCUGCUUGAUAGUGAGCUGCAGACAGCUCAUAUUAAGAGCAUAUGAAAGGAGUGGAAGGCUCCUACUGGUCCAGGGCACAUUGGCAUGUUAUUUACGAGGAAAUGGUUGCAAGAUGACAACAACAUAACGUGAGAAAACUGUCAACAAAGUAACUCUUUUUAUGUUGAGGAGUAUAUUUCUUUAACAAGAAAAUCCCCUAAGGCUGUUGAUACUAUUUUUCCAGAGUCAGUAUAUCUCCAAAUAUGAGGAUAUCUCCUGUACACGAGAAUCUAACGUGCCUUUCUUUUUGAACUUCAUAGUAGUAACUAAUUCAGUUUUGUUUCUAACUGAACCAUUGUUGCGACAAUUUAUGUAUUAUUACUUGCGGAGAAGUUGUACGACAUCAACAACAACAUACCCAGUGAAAUCUCACAACUGGGGUUUAGGGAGGGUAUUGUGUACGCAAACCUUACCCCUACCUUUGGGAGGUAGAGAGGCUGUUUCCGUGCAGAAUUUGUUAUUAGGAUUGAAUAAUAAGAUAUAACAACUUAAAACUAAUUAUGAGGGUAACGAAAACGAGAUAUAACUGGUAAGAAUUUCAGAAGUAGAAUCUUUUGGUCAGCUGUGAAUAGAAGGCUGGGAAGGGAGGUGCGCAAAAGCCUUGCCUGAGAAGACUAAAGUAUGAAAAAUGAUGGAAGUGGAAGUAAGAAAUGAUUAUGGAACUUUUAGUUUCUAGAUAUACAUCUCUAGAUGCUACUAUAUAUCCUAAAAAGUCCAGAAGGAGGGCCUAAAAUUUGUUUCUGCUGGUGCUUGUAAUUUUCUACUUUACUGUCUCAUUUAAAUGAUACAUUGAUUUAGGCAGAAAACUUAAACAUUGCAUGACAGAGAACAUUUAGAGUCCUGUUGCAUGAUUCAAAUUUCUUUCACUUAUAUGGUCUCUUGGCACAUGAUUUGAGAAGUUAAUUAUCGAACCUAAAGUCUAUCUACAGCUGAUAGAAUCGGAACACGAGAAGCAGACAAACUUAUCCAAACGUCAUGUCGCCACCGCACAAGCCAGACAACCACCUUGCAUUGUAGCUAUCUGAAAUUUUCUCUGUUCGUUGGUUCAUCCAUCUAUUUUAUAAUCCCACUGCUGGAAAAGGUUGGGUUGCGGAGAUGUUGGAAGUGGCUACUUGGCUGAACUGAGUCGAACCAAAUGUUACUUUGCUACGGAAGUCACAGAUAAAGUAUCUUUAGCCAGCCGCCACGAGGCUUCUUCGUGCUCAGACCAAAAGACAAAUUUGACAAUCCCUUGAUCAUCUUUUUCUUCCAUCACUCUACAAACACUUCGAGACUGAUAAGUUCUCAUGUUUGGUCAUGGAUUCUACCCUGGCGGGAAUCUCCACACUCUUACGCAGAGACAGCAUAGGAAACAUUUUUCUGAACAAGCGGUGAAGUAUAACCUCCUUUCAGUCUUUGGA